This is a long non-coding RNA of Mus musculus (house mouse), 9717 nucleotides long. RefSeq annotates it as predicted gene, 53676. The transcript is spliced from 2 exons. NCBI's taxonomy places the organism in Eukaryota, Metazoa, Chordata, Mammalia, Rodentia, Muridae. The record is from RefSeq and is a predicted model, not a curated record.
CCCUCUGAAGAACCUUCUCAGCAGACAGUCUGCCAUAACUGCAUUUCUGAGGUGAUGAACCCCGUUAGUUAACUCCAUGAAAGGAAGAUUUAUCAGAGUACUGUGGUGCAAGGCAUUGUGGGAGGAAGGAUUACUGGUCUUAAGAACUUUACAUUCCUGUGGAAAAGAACAGCAAUCACCUUCAAAACUUAUCUUUGAUUUGUUUACUGAUGCCUCUCAAGUUUUGGUUCUCUCUAGUUGCUACUCUCACCUCCUUCUACCAAAAAGAAAUCCUAUGUAGAAAAUGAUGUGACCAAAAUAUAUCCGUGGGGAAUAAUUGACCCUGGUCCUAUCCUCUUCCUACUUUUCCCCCUCACUACAACUGGCAGGUCUGUAAUAAACUUGGCACUUCCAGCUUGGAACCCUGCAGCCAUCACUACAGAAGGUAAUUUCAGUGUGGUAAUGCUUAGGUCUGUGGAGACAGGAAGACUAAUCAGUGAGGCUAACCUGGUCUGUGCGUAACAAGUUCCAGAUCACCAGCUCUAUUCUGCAAGGUUCUAAUUCAAAAUCCUCCCUAAAGGAUUCCAGUGUGCACUGAAGGGGAGGUGGGGGCAGGCCAGGGCCAGAGAUAACGCAAGGACUGUUAGCCGUUCAUCCCUCAAGAACCUCAGCUCCUGUCCUAAUGUCUACAUUGUCAAUUUUUGGCUCCCAAGUCAGGCCCAACCAAAAGACAUUUUUACAUCCAUGAUGGAGAACAUAUUCUAAAGCCCUCCUGUGUCUGCCAAGCUAGCAAGACCAUGAAAUGCUAGGUCUUAGAAGACACACUUGGUCUAGGAUUCUCAAAACCUAAUUUUGGAGAUAGCCAAGCAAGCUUCCUCAUUCCAUGGCCUUAAGAAAAACCCUGGACUCUCAACCUUGGCUGUUAAUACUGAGAAAUAAUACCUAUCUCUACAAAACCACUAAAGUUGGAUGUGAAAGUGCUCAUACUGUUCCAAGCUCAUCUCUCCUUACAUUCUGUCGCCCAUCACAACAAGACUACAAAGCAUCAUGGGGACCAUGAAGAGAAGAGAUGAAGAAACCACUUUAAGCAGGCACCUAGAAUGGAAGGGAGUGUGACAGGGGCCUUAUCAUCAAGCCAGGUCUCAUACUGCCUUGUCUCCUAACAGCCAGAGCUAACCCAUCCAUUCCACCAGCCCUGCCCACCACACCAUUAACACCAGCACUUUCUCCUCUGCUAGCAGGCACACUCUUCCAAGGGUAGAAGUGUGGAAGAUGCAAAUACCAGCAAGCAGUGAUGGGUCAGCAGCAGAGACAGUGAUAGCUACAGGAAGCACCACUUCAAAUGGAUCUAUACCCAGAUUGGUGCUUUCUUCUGGGAAAGAGCUAAGCAGAGCGUGUGUGUGUGUGUGUGUGUGUGUGUGUGUGUGUGUGUGUGUGUGUGUGUGUGUGUGUGCUUUCCUUACACAACUACUCUGUGUUCCUAUGUGCUUUUAAUGUCGUUUCUAACCAAAUCUCUGUCAAUGUGACAUACUAACAUGAGAAUGUGGGUUUUUGUUUAUUAACUAGAAGUAGGAGGUACUAGCUCUUGCUCUUUAAAAACAGAUCCAAUUGCAGCGACAGGGAACAUGUGUAGCCCUGGCAUGCUAGCAUGUGCAAUGUCUUUAGGAUGCAGUCAUUCCUUCCUGCACCUGAGCUUCUGAUGAUUUCUCAGUGAGAUAGCAUAGCCUCCUCCCACAGGACCUUGAUAUGCAGACACUCACUGAGUCCAGGCUCUAAAUAAUUCACGGAUGGCCCUGUCACUCAGGAGCAUCAGAGCCCACCAGCUGCCUUUGCGGUGGGAGCCAGGCUCUAGGUUUAAAUACUAUCAGGUACCUCUGAGACCACUUCUAGAAAAUACUACAAUCCUCUUUAUUUUCUCCUACUUUAAGCAACGUAAUUUCCAGUUUGAAAGAGGAUAGGUUGUCAAGUAAAUAAGUAGCAAGAAAGUGGCUUCCUUAAACAAGUACAUGGUCGGGUGUCCUUCCCUCCUCAGGCUUCUGGGAUGACACAGCAGAGCAGCAGGCACAGCCUGCCCUCCUCACAGCCUGCCCUCCUCACAGCCUGCCCUCCUCACAGCCUGCCCUUCUCACAGCCUACCCUCCUCCAGCCUACUCAGCAACUACUACCUGCCUCGAGCUUUCCAAGUCUGCUCCUGGUAUUCCUUCUCCUCUCAGUCUAUAAUGGAAUGAUCCUUCCUUCAAGAACAGCUCAAAACUAUAAUCUGUAGAUGUAUAAUCUUACAGCUUCCCCCUCCUUCAGGAAGGCUUCCCAGAUUACAGCAGCUAUGAAAAUGGUUUCUUCCUUCUCAGAAAGCCUACACUAGAAGCACCAGCCUCCCUCUGGCACUUAUCACAGUCUUAGAUUAUUACUUAUCUCGUCUUGUGUACAAGUCUUGUCUACUCAGUUGAAAUAAUAGAAUUGCACCAGUUAUAAGAUCCAAGAAAAGUAAAAUGUGAACUCUAUUCUCAGCUUUAGACACUGGCUGUGUAAUCCUGAGCUGAACUCUUAGCCUGCCCAAUACUUCCCCUAAAACCAAAAGAUCUGAAAAAGAAAAAUCUCUGGUCUCUGGGAUACAAUGUUCUUAGCUGUUUUAGUACACUUAAGUCACAUUAUUAAUUUUUUAGGAUUUAUUUAUUUUAUGUAUAUGAAUAUACUGUUGCUGUCUUCACACACACCAGAAGAAGAUGUCAGAUCUCAUUGAAGAUGGCUGUGGGCCACCGUGUGGUUGCUGGGAAUUGAACUCAGGACCUCUGGAAGAGCAGUCAGUGCUCUUAACCGCUGAGCCAUCUCUCCAGCCCCAAGUCACAUUAUUAUUAUUAAGACACAUUAAAUAACAGUGUCCAUGUUAUUUCCUACUCCAGUAGCUAAGCAAUUAUCCAGAACCAUCUAGCUGCUUGAGAAGUCUCAAUGGGGAUAAUGCAAUCAAUGGUUCUCUGGUAGAGCUAGCCCCACAAGGUAAAUGCAGUCUGCUCUACCUUAGGUAACACACUGGUACAGCCUCAGCCCUUCACAUUUAGAUGACAGAACUCUUAAGGUGUCAGACGUUCCUUUUCAAAGCCCACAACCUAAGCUAAUCAUGUUAUCUACAGAUUAUAAAAAUGAGGUGAGAUAUAAGCUUUUACACAAAGAUACAAACUAAGUUACUGGCAUACUGAAGGUUGGGAAGCAGGCCUUCCGGUUCCUGUUGUCACUUGCACAUUGCCAGCACAGUCUGGAAAGUUACAGGAAGCUGAGGACAAAGGAAGGGGUAGACACUUCUCACAGAAAUCCAUCAGCAAGGUAGGCCCAGGAACUGAAAUUCUAGAAAACUCUUCAUAAUCCUCUCUCCCAUCUACCUUCCAGCAUCCACCACCAGCAGAGAACCAACCAACUAAAGUAACAGAGAUAAUCUUUGUGUCCCUUUCUGCUGAACUUUAACCAGCUGAAAGAACUAAGGCCUAGACUACCACGAUGUCAGUUUCCAUCUCAGCAUGCUGAGCAGAGCUAUGAACACAGCCCCUAAGAGACCCUACUCUUCAAAGAUCCCUUUGAUCAAUUUUCUAUACUGACCUGACCUUGCCUGCAUUGUUCUUAGGAAGUCCCGAGGGAACUUGUCUUUUAAAUUACCAUCUACUCAGAAAAACAUGAUUUGAAACCAUAACAAUGCCUUUCUAUUACUGACAGGCUUUCAAGUAGCAAAGGCUAGCCUAAAGCUCACUGUGUAGCUCAGGAUGACCCGGAAGUUCUGAUUCUUCUGUUCUCAACUUCAAGUGCUAAGAUUACUGGCAUAAGCAGUCACUUCCAGUUUGUGACACUCAGGGUCCAGCUUAUGGCUUUGGGCAUGCCAGGAAAGCACUGGUCUACACCGUAGCCUCCCUUUAUACCCUUUUUUAACCAUCUUAUAAAAGUUUCCGUAAAGGAUAUUCAGGGACCUGGAACUUGUUUAAACUAGUGGAGACAGGUAAAUAAUCUCAGCACAUAAAAUCAAUAUGAAGUUCUUCAAAACUCUAACCCAGAACCACCACAUGGCAUAGAAAUUCCAUGUCUGGGAAAUAACACAGAGGCUCAAAUGUGACGUUUACACAUCCUGCUUAUUGCAACAUUCAACAAAGCAGUCAAGAAAUGGGAACAAACCCAAUAAAUCAAUGAAAGAACAGAUAAACGAAAUCUGCAAGCAGGAGACCUCAGUUCAAUCCUCAAAGCCUACAUUAAAAAGCAAGCAAAGCAGUGGUGUGGAUAUGUCAUCCUAGCACUGGAGAGUUUAGGCCAACAGAGCUCUACCAGAUUAGUUGUCAAGUUCUAGACCAGUGAAAGACUUUGUCUCAAAAAAUAAGGUAUGUGCACCUGAAGAUUUACACUGGACUGUCUAGUUUUGUCAAUUUGACGCAGCUGGAGUCAUCAGAGAUAAAGGAGCUUCAGUUGAGGAAAUGCUUCCAUGAGAUCCAGCUGUAAGGCAUUUUCUCAAUUAGUGAUCAAUGCGAGAGGGCCUAGCCCACUAUGGGUGUUUCAUCCCUGGGCUGUGGUCCUCAGUUCUGUAAGAAAGCACACUGAGCAAGCCAGAGUAAGCAAGCCAGUAAGCAGCACCCCUCCAUGGCCUCUGCAUCAACUCCUGCCUACAGGUCCCAGCCCUGCUGGAGAUACUGUGCUUUCUUCUCCAAUGAUGGACUGUGAUCUAGAAGUAUAAGCAGAAUAAGCCCUUUCCUCCCCAACCUGCUUUUGGUUAUGGAUAUGUCUCCCCAACUAAGACAAACAUCUAGGGUUGAUCUCUGUCCUCCACACACAUGUGCACACAUGUGCACAGCCAUGUGCAUGCACACCCAUGCCCAUAUGUGUACCCACAAACAUUAACAUUCAUACACAACAAAUAGAAGAAUGAGAUACACACAUGCACUAGAAUAUUAUUCCGCUUUAAAAAAUGGAAUCAUGUCACAAGCCUGUCACACCAGCACAUGGAUGAACCUUAAAGGUAUUAUGUUAAGUGCAAAAAGCCAGUCAAAACGAGAAAAAUAGGCUCAUAGUGGCACCUAUGCCAUUCAAGUGUCCACUGCAGUCUGAGCAGGUCUGAGCCAAGAAGACAGCCAUAGUGGUGGUGCACUUCGAAAGGGAAAUGGCCUAUUAAGGCAAACUGAUGUCCCCUGGAGAUGAUCAAGCCACUCAGCGUGGUAUAUGUUCCUGGAGCCCUUCUGUUUCUGGGCAAGGAGCAGUUUGCUGGUGUGGAUAUUCGGGUCUAUGUGAAGAGUAGUGGUCUUGGGACCCAAAUUUAUGCCAUCCCAUAGCCCAUUUCUAAAGCCCUGGUGGCUUAUCAAAAAUAUGUAGAUGAGCCUCUAAGAAAGAGAUCAAAGAUACCCUGCCCCUGUUUGAUACCAGAAAUCCUACCAAUAAGCCCAUCUCAAGGAUCAAGGUCCAUUCACCUUUGUAAUAAAACAUCCUGGAAUUUUAACGUUAAAUAAAAAACAAACAUGUUCUAAGUCCUGGGAACAGUCAGGAGGAUGGAGGAGGGGCAAUGAAAUAACUGUCUAGUUAGUUGUUCCUCAGUUUUGCAAGAUUAAAACAUUCUACACAUCUGUUACCCAGCAGUGUGCUCGCAGUUAAUAUCAAUGAAAGGUGCACACAUUUGGUUAUUAGUUUUUAAAAAUAAUUAAAAAUAAACUUUCAAUAAAAACAGAGGGAACACACUGACAGUAGACCUAGAAUCACAUGCUCCUCACAUGUGCUCUCAAAGCCGUCAGCCGAUCCCUCCAAGUCCUGUUUUUCCAACCUUAAGAAAUAAGAACUGGACUGGGAAUCCUGCCAAAUCUCAUUUUUAUAACAAAGGUCUCAUAAAUGAGUUACUGACUCAUACUUGCAUGCAGCACUGCGGGGUGACGACCUCUCAGCAGUCCCAGUUACUGCAGGGCCUGGUGAACUCUACAAAGCCAACCUUCACCCAACUGCUCCAGAUCUGUACUUUCCAGUCAGUAUCUCUAAGACUGAUAUUCCAAAGCUGACCAACUGUGACUUCAGACACUGUAACCUAUUAUACUGAGGCAACUGUAUAUUCCUUUAAUGUACGUGUAUGUAUGGGUGUGUGUGUGUGUGUGUGUGUGUGUGUGUGUGUGUGUGUGUACAGGAAUAUGGAAACACCUUCGCAUGUGUUAGACUAGUUUUCUCCACUUUGAGCAUUUUGUGACACCCUAUCAUCAACUUCUCUGAAAUACUACGACUUGCCCACCCAGAUACUGUUAGGGAUAAUUUUGGGGUAUUAAAGGCUCAGAAAGCAAUGGUCCAAUAUUCUUACUGAUCAAAAAAAAUCAUAAGAUUAUGGAAGAGUGAAUGGCAAAAAUCAAUGCACAGGAAAGAAGUCUGUAAUUUCACGUGCUUAUAAUCAGUUACACUCGUUCUUGUUAAUAACACUCUAAAAGAGCCUGCAUUUCUGACUCACCAUACAUAAAACAGUAAAAAGAAAAAUUUCCAUGAGCUUGAGUAAGCAUCAUAAAUCAUUUCUUAUUUCAUUAUUCUCAUGAAGAGCAAAGGUUGCUACUGUCACCUACCAACAUGUACUCACAAUCCACUCCUCACUGUUACACAGAACAGUAGAAGACGCUGGGAGUCACCUUGGUAACAGAACAGAGUUAGCUUGCUAACUCCUGAGGUUAUCUCAUGCCAAAAAUCAUUGGUAUUUCUGUUUGUUUGUUUUUGUUUUUCUCCCCAGUGCUAGCACGUAGACCCCAGGGCCUUGAGCAUACCAGGUAAACACAUCAGCCCUCCACAGCUUACAAUUCAUUCUGUCAUAUCUAUCAGAUGUAUGGUAUAAUAAAUGUUUUUGUUUGUUUUUUUUAAAUAACAGGUCAGCUAGGGCCCCUUUACCCCCCAUAAACUGGCUUUGCUUCUGUGUUUGACAGUCAGACACAAAAAGAAGAUACACGGAAAGCGCCAACUCUCAAUGUACAACCUUUCCUAAAGCAGUGGCAGGGCUUAGCUCUCUUGAGAAAGGUUUUAUACGCUCAACCAUUACAGAUGCCCAAAUGAGCUACAAAAGCUAUCUCAGAACCUUCCUCAUAAUUUUUUUAAAUUAACAAUUGUGGGGAGAGGUACAAGGUUUAACUACCUCAGAAAUUAAGGCUAUCUGGAGACGUAUAAAAUAUUAAUACCAAGAAAGGCAACUUACAAGAGGGCUGGAAAAGGCAAGUAAAGGUCCCAGGGUUUUGGUUGCCUCUGAGUCUUACGACUGGUAACCCAUGUUAGAGCGCACAAAAGCAGCCACAGAAAAUCUUGAUUGGAGUAUGUAAAAUAAGGAUUAAUAGCCCUAUCAAAGACUGCUAUUAACACUUCUGCAUUAUUCUAAAAUAUUCUCCAAGGUGAUAGUGACCCACGAGUUUUAAGUAUGAUAAAUAAUCCUGGAAGCCUGCUCAUAUUCCUUUUUUAUCAUCCUCUGAUACCAAGCGACAGCUGUGGUCAUAAAGAGGAAUGCACAUGAGAGCUAAAUUACCCCACCAGAGGCCAGCAUGUUCCAGCAAGAACUAGCCUGCUUGACUAGGGUUUUUAUACAUGGAUAUGUCCCUCUCCCUCAACCUCACUUAUUUGGUUGGGGGUUAGAAUGAGAAAAAUCAAUGUACCAAAACUUUAAAGUAUUUUUGUUAUACUUCCUCAAAUCGUUUUCUCUCAAAUUUAGGAACAUGCAGGAUCACUCUAAGUAUAGCAUAUAGACCUAAAACAGAAGUCCAAUCAGAGAAGACCAAAUAUGGCGAUCACACAGAUUCGUUUUCAUUAAAAAAACAAAGUCAUGGUAUACAGCUUGAUGUAUGUGCCUCAUUGGUAAGGAGGCUAUACAAGUCCUGGGCUCAACUGCCCAGAACUGCUAGAAAACAAAAUGUUUAAAAAUUCCAACCUAAAAUUCUUUUCCUGUGCUUCAUCGCAGUUCCUGGAAUGAGGACUGAGUCACAAAUGCCCUCUGAGCACCACUGCAAACAAGGGCAAAGGUCACCAGAGGCUAGCAGAACACGCGCCCUUUGAAAGCUUCUGGUUUCCCACAGGGACUUCUUAUUCUGCCACCUGCAUUAAGGCAAUAUUCUCAGUAUGGAACACUCCUCCCUGAGGAGGGAAACAGAGCUCUCUCUUUACAAGAUUUACUUUCAGUGUGGCAUGCUAGUGCACACCUUUAAUCCCAGCACUCAGAGGCAGAGGCAGGCGGCACUUGAGUUCUCAAAAUGAUCCCACAAGACAGUGUUCCUGUCCUGUAGAAGUUUAUCCACUACCUUACAGUAAUUGGCAGGGAGGAGAUGUAAGGCAGAAGCAGAACUCUGAGGCCAUUCUCUCUUAGCAUCCGCCUAGAAAUGAACAAUUCUGGAUGCCUGCCACACCCAGAAAGGCCUGGAAGCUUUGGCCAUAAGAGAAUUUCCCAAAGGCACAGUUAGAUGAAGAAUCUCCAAGUCUGUACAGUUUCUGAAGGCUAUAUACAGUGUACAGACAAAUUUAAAGAUGAGAUAUAAUCCUAAAACUGGAAUAAUUGUGAGCAAAGCCCUACAGUGGUCCUUGCUGAUUUAUUUGCCUGAAUACUCCACAAAAACGCUCUUGUGCUAACUAACACCUUGUGUGCUUAGGUGCCUGUAAGCAGAGCCAAGGCCCUGGUCCUUCUCUCCCUCGUGCCCUCCACAGCCCUUGAAGAGCCAGUCUGAGGGUCCAAACUCAACAGUUUAAGACCUGUUACUGACUGAGAAGUGAAGUGCCUCCAAAUACUAUUUUAGAUUUGAAGGUGGGCUUUCCUAAGAUCGUUCCAUGCCAGGGUGAGAGGGCUCAUUACCAGACACUGCUGCACUCCAGGAGUUGCAUCAAGCACUGUGAUAGUAAAAUCUAAAAGGAACUGUCCCCCUCUAGAGAAGCACAACAGUUUCCUAAAUGCCUUCUCUCCCUCAGCCUCUCUCUUCUCUCUGUCACUACUGGGAGCCAUCCCAGUGUCCCCAGGACCUCAGCAGCAGCUCUCCAGUUAACUCUCAGGGUCUCUGGCUCUCUGAAGGUGGGAAUCUCAGGGAGGCCCUUUGUUACAACUAGGGCAUCCUUUCUAUUUGAAAAAAAAAAAAAAAACAAAAAACUCUGCUGAGCUGAGGCAGCCUUCUAGGAUAAGCACUAAGCUCUUUGGCUUUUCUGCCCACUCCUUCUGCUUGUGAAACCUGUUCAUGUCUCUGCCUGGAAUUUUCUCCCAUGUAUUGACAUUGUAUCUCCUGAGUGAGCACAGAGCUCCUCUCUCCACAGACUCCCUCGCCCUCAUGGCCAGCCUCUCUAAUGCUAACCAUAGUGCCUGUCAGAAAGCAGACACUGAGUAUUAGGCCAUUCAUUCCAUUCUCUAAUAAAUGACUAAACCACUAACAUUCUGAUUCACAAAGCUUACAAAUAAAAAGACCACUUUGCUGUCCUUUAAAAUGUACCUGUUAGAACAGGAUAGUUUAAUGGCAUUAAUAAAAUCUAAUUAUCCAAGCAAUACUAGCAUUUUAAAAAGCAGAACAGAAGAAUAUCACAGCAGUUCAUGAUGUACUAGUAAAUACUACUUCAUAAAUUUGAACUAGGUACACACACACACACACAUAUAUAUCCAAAAAAAUACACUUAUCUAGCAAUGAGAUUACCAAUGUAAACAUACUUCUUCCUGGUAAUAUAGUCAAAAAUUGUUUCUUUCAAAAUAGUGAAAGUUACUAACCAAAUCAUUGUUGAUUACUCUGAAAUCCUUCAUUUAGCUUAGAAAAAAAA